Molecule: ribosomal RNA, 253 nt
Filed under: uncultured bacterium
Lineage: Bacteria
Description: partial 16S ribosomal RNA
Rfam family: Bacterial small subunit ribosomal RNA
Source: RNAcentral
UACGUAGGGUGCAAGCGUUAAUCGGAAUUACUGGGCGUAAAGCGUGCGCAGGCGGUGAUGUAAGACAGGUGUGAAAUCCCCGGGCUUAACCUGGGAACUGCAUUUGUGACUGCAUGGCUGGAUUGCGGCAGAGGGGGAUGGAAUUCCGCGUGUAGCAGUGAAAUGCGUAGAUAUGCGGAGGAACACCGAUGGCGAAGGCAAUCCCCUGGGCCUGCACUGACGCUCAUGCACGAAAGCGUGGGGAGCAAACAGG